AAGGUGGGGCUAAUGACUGGGGUGAAGUCGUAACAAGGUAGCCGUACCGGAAGGUGCGGCUGGAUCACCUCCUAACAGGGAGACGAAAAACGAUUAUGAUGUCUAGAUAUUUAUUUUCAAGACCAUAAUCCUGUCACCUUAGGUCGAUCGGUACCUCAGCUUGAAAGCUUCUGGAUUAUUGAUUCAGUCAAUGAUUAUUAGAUUCUUUUGAUUUCAGUUCCUAAACUUGUCUAGGUCACACCCAACAAACUUUCUUCUGGGCUAUUAGCUCAGGUGGUUAGAGCGCACCCCUGAUAAGGGUGAGGUCCCUGGUUCAAGUCCAGGAUGGCCCAUUCGUUGUUGGGGGUAUAGCUCAGUUGGUAGAGCGCCUGCUUUGCAAGCAGGAUGUCAGCGGUUCGAGUCCGCUUACCUCCACUGAUCAACUGCCUGAUAACUCAAUUUUGAAGAUUGACUUUGUUUAAUGUGAUUUAGACGUUGUUCGACUGAUCGAACCUAGCUUCCUGUCAUCC
RNAcentral lists this unclassified non-coding RNA (509 nucleotides) under uncultured Prochlorococcus sp. RNAcentral describes it as "partial may contain 16S ribosomal RNA, 16S-23S ribosomal RNA intergenic spacer, and 23S ribosomal RNA". The stretch from base 342 to 414 matches the Rfam family "tRNA". The record is from RNAcentral. Lineage: Bacteria; Bacillati; Cyanobacteriota; Cyanophyceae; Synechococcales; Prochlorococcaceae.